RNAcentral lists this ribosomal RNA (502 nucleotides) under uncultured Glomeromycotina. Its description in RNAcentral is "partial small subunit ribosomal RNA". It matches the Rfam family "Eukaryotic small subunit ribosomal RNA", at positions 591 to 1092 of the family's 1831-position model. Lineage: Eukaryota; Fungi; Glomeromycota. The record is from RNAcentral.
CCAAUAGCGUAUAUUAAAGUUGUUGCAGUUAAAAAGCUCGUAGUUGAAUUUCGGGGUUCAUACGUUGGUCGGGCUAUUUGGUCUGUACUUAUGUAAUGGAUUCCUACCUUCUGAAUAACCGGCAUGCCAUUAAUUUGGUGCGCCGGGGAAGCAGGACUGUUACCUUGAAAAAAUUAGAGUGCUUAAAGCAGGCUAUCGCCUGAAUACAUUAGCAUGGAAUAAUGAAAUAGGACGGCAUGGUUCUAUUUUGUUGGUUUCUAGGAUCACCGUAAUGAUUAAUAGGGAUAGUUGGGGGCAUUAGUAUUCAAUUGUCAGAGGUGAAAUUCUUGGAUUUAUUGAAGACUAACUUCUGCGAAAGCAUUUGCCAGGGAUGUUUUCAUUAAUCAAGAACGAAAGUUAGGGGAUCGAAGACGAUCAGAUACCGUCGUAGUCUUAACCAUAAACUAUGCCGACUAGGGAUCGGACGAUGUUAAUUUUUUAAUGACUCGUUCGGCGCCUUACG